This 684-nucleotide long non-coding RNA is filed under the name Apteryx rowi (Okarito brown kiwi). RNAcentral describes it as "lncRNA (ENSARWG00000006132.1)". Lineage: Eukaryota; Metazoa; Chordata; Aves; Apterygiformes; Apterygidae. The record is from RNAcentral.
CUGUACGAAGGAUACCCUUGGUCUUUGCACAGCUUCGCCUGCGUAUCUAGAGGAGAAACCAUGUGUGGGUGGGGUGAGCUGGGAGCAAGGCGAGCGCACAGGCAUUCCAGACUUACGGCCUGGGCUAGGCUCAAGAUGUACCUAGGAGACACCUAAAAGCCAGGGGAAGAUGCACACACCUGGUCUUGCUGUCGUUAGAAGCACGUCACCGGGAGUCCAGCGUGCAGAAUGAGGUUUUCGCUGGGGACAAGAGGAGAUGGUUGCACUGUGCGCUGGAGCUGACUAGGAGCGAAGGAGAGGCUGCCUCCAGGCCGUAUGGUCAGGAUGUCUUUGCCCAAAUGUGGUAAAUGACUACACCAAGCAGUCAGCCCAGGAGCGCGGUGGUCACCUAAACGUAGAUGAUGUCGGCUUGUGCAAACUGUCCUGGACUUCACAAGGGCUGUUCGUGGCUGGAGCGUCUGUGACACUGUUGGAGCUCGGAGCAGCGUUCCACCGGGAUGAGCCCCGCAGACAGCAACCACAGGAGGCUGCAACCAGAGCAAGCAAUGGCACAGGAAAGGGAGGCGAGGAGUAUGUUUUAAAUACUUUUAUUUCUUAAUUUACAUAAAGGUAUAUAUUUGGCUUAUUUCUUUUUCUUAUACUCUGAGAUUCACAAUCAAUUGCUCUUAAAAAAUAAAAUAGCCA